CAGCUUGGCAGCUGAGCUAUGGGACAAGUUACAAAACACAGCAGACUACCAGCUAUGGGUUGUUAACAAGAGCGUGUUACGCGUUAUACUACACUAUGCUGCAGCGAGGCUUUCAGUUUUACACAGCUCUGGACACAAGUACUUAGUAAAACAAAGAGGGGUGUGUGAUUAUGUCCUCUCUGGUUCCAUAGGCAGUUUUAGGAUUUGCCAACAGGGGGUGCAACUUGCCAGAGAAGUAAGUCUUUUCUUUUGGUUUGUUUUUUGCAAGGCCAAACCUGGAAGACUCAUGUUUACCGAUUUACAAUAGGAUGUGAUGUUUUAGUUUGUAAUAUUUUAAGGAGGUUAUAUAAUUAAGGUUAACUGUAAUAAAGUGUUUGCACUUUGACUUCUUGAAUAAGUCAAACAUUGUUUCAAAAUGGUGACAUUGCACUAUAUGUUCCAUGAAGAAUUAUUAUUAUUUUGCACACAAUAAAUUCUUCAAUGAUACAUUAACUGCGUUUCCAUUACCCAUAGAUUUGCGCAAAACCUAAAUAUAGCAAUAGAAAACUGGUAAUGGAAACACCUAAAUUUCAGAAAAACCUCUCAAAUAUCGCUAAAAGGUUUUUACGCUCUCAUGAGGUGGUUUUUCAGACGUGUCGAUAUAUAAGUAUAUUGCAAAAGUGUAAUGGAAACACUAUUCUUGCAAUUCUCUGUCACCGGACGUGACGUAGCGGGUCAAGUGACCAGUUCAUUUCAAGCGAAAUGUGUGUAUGGACGGGGGAGGAGACGGAGUUAUUUCUGAGGUUUUGAAUUGUAUUUGUAUUUUUCUGAAGUUUUGAAUCCACAAUUCGUCCAUGAAUUCCUCAUUAACAAUCCUCCCCCAGAAAUCCCUCAUCCGUGUCCGCUCCCAUACAUACGGGUUUGAAUACGGAAGUGAGCAGAAUGACCGAACAUGGAGCUAAACGCAGAGCUGAGGGCAGCAAAACAGUUGUCAGCUGUGACUUUGGGUCAUCCUCAGAAGAUGUUAUAGUUGAGGAGUUAUUCAACGUCUCUCCAAAGUGACGUCGAGCAAUUAAGCCGAUAAACUGGCAACAUAACAAAUCUUUUCUCCUCGAGUGAUUAUGCGGGAAGCAUGAAAAUGCGAGCGGAGUCUGUACAGCCUGUCACUGCUGACGGUACGAGUAGCAUUAGCAGUUUAGACACAACUAGCGGUGCAGCCACCAGACCAAAGCAGCAAUCAGUCAUAUCCAUACCUGCCAACACUCCCAUUUUCCCCGGGACUCUCCCCUAUUUCAGACGUAGGCCUGUCACGAUAACAAAUUUUGCUGGACGAUAAUUGUGCUACAAAUUAUCGCCGAUAAACGAUAUUAUUGACACCGUUUUUUAAAUUAUACAUAAUGAUAUUAUAUGGCAUAAUAAUGCGAGUACACCUUGUCAAAAGUGAUAAACUUUAAUUUCCACUGUCUGUCAGCGCGCACCAUUUUGCGCUGUUUUGUUUAUAUUUGCUUUGCUUACCAAACGCUUCAGUAAGCGGUACCUGUCGGGACGAUGGCUCCGCAGCACCUCCGGUGGUACUUUUUUUGCUCAGUUGAGAAAAAUGGAGGGGAUGAUUGUGCUUGAGGUGCACAUGCAUGUUCGUCGUAUUCCCCUUCUUUGUCACCACAACUUUGGAACAAAUACGACAUAUCGGCUCGUCUGUAUAUGUGGGGUCACCUCUUUCAUUUGGUUUAAAGCAGUGUUGUUUUCGUCAUAUUUCGUCAAAUAUUUUCGUCAACGCCAGCGUCAAAAAAGGUAAAUAAUUUCAUCAACGAGAACAACACUGGUUGUUUUCGUUGACUAAAAUAUUUCCCUUUCUUCCACGACGAAGACGCAACGUUGACGAGCUAAACAUAAGUCGGAGAUGACUAAAAUGUGACGAGACGAAAGUGCGUUUACGUUGAUGGGACGAGACGAAAAUGACAAACAGACUUGCAAAACUCAGUCAGUUAAACGCUCAACAUACAGGAGCAGCUUCAGUCCGCUCUGACAGCUCUCAUCAGCCUGCUGUGCUCCUCCAACACACAGACACACACGCGCGCACACACACACACACACACACACACACACGAGUUUUGUGGUUGACGAAAACAAAACUGGUUUAAAGCCGAAAUAUUCCCACACUUGGGCUGUUGCGUUCGGUUUAGACACCAAAGCUGUCGUGUUCAUUCUGUUUGCUUGCUUUUCACUCACGACGCUCACUUGCAGCACUGUAUCCAAAAGUCUGUGUCUGUGUGCCUGACUGUGCGCGCCAGCCCCCUCGUGACAAAGACACUGAAUGACUGACAGGAGGGUUCACUAACUCCGUUCAUUCCGCUAUAGAGCCAACGCCCCCAGGUGCCGAGAACAAUGCACAGAGUGAGACCUCUUCUCUCAUCCAGCGUGUUUGGUAGCGAGAGAGGAGGAAAACAAACGCACGUCAAUUAUCGAGGCUGGCAAAAUGACCGACCUCGUUUUUAUUUACCGAGCGAUAAGGCGAUUUAUUGAUUAUCGCGACAGGCCUAUUCAGACGUAUCUCCCGCCCACUCCCGGUAUUAUCAUUUCUCCCGGGAAUUUCUCGUAGCAUGGUCCGCAUUCAUUCAUGAAUCAGAUCACUAUAUUUGCUCAAAGUUUCCAGACAACCGGAGAUUGUCCUUUGUUUCUGCUGAGCCUUACAGACAGUGGAUUGACACUUUUACUUUACAGUUUGGGACGAUUCAGGUCGGUUUCAGCUGUAAACUACAGGGCUCUCAAGUCUCACGCAUUCAGCGUGUGACACACGCAUUCCCACCUGUUCACACGCUCACACUCCACACAUCGUAUUUCUCACGCAUUUAAAUGAACAUGGUGAUGUCCACCACGUUGCCCCUCUUUAACAAUGGAACAGGUAGAAAUCAACUGAGUUUCUCCGAGAGUUCAGAAGCUGCGUGCCAGGCGCAAGCCAAUCAAAUAAAGUAUAUCUACUGAACAGCCAAUCAAAAAGCAGCAUGUCUGUAUCCGGGUAGAAAUAGAGCAGGUUUUUAAAAGGACGAGAUAGACCCGAUGAUUACAGUAAGUCAGUAACCUACACAUGCAGAGACCUCAACACCUCAUGGCAUAUAAACUCAUAUAAUAAACUAAAACCCUAUGCUAUUGCUAUUGACAGCUGUAUUGAUGAAUUUAGCCUCUGUACAGCCAUUUCCAGCCAUUUUCCCCUCCACAAAAGCAGCAUUUCUCAUAUAUUUUUUUUAAAGUUCUGAUACUCAUGACAGUGUAACGCUCAUGUACCAAAGGAUUAAGUAUCUCCAUGUUUGUGAAACCUAUACUAAAGUACAAUUCAUCUAAAUGCUCCACAGUGCUGAUUUUAACAACUCUCCUCCACACCACAGGUAACUUUACGACUUAAUUCUUAUAAAUUAAUGACUUUUAUUCUCCUAAAUAAUAACUUUGUUGUCUAAAAUUUUAAUUUUUUUUUUCUUAAUGUGGCCCUCACACUCUGUUGUAUUUAAGAGAUUAUUAUACUAAUAAUUAUCAUCAAUCACUCUACACCCCCCCAAAGAAAUCUCACUCUAAGCUUAGUUCAAAACUUGAGAGCCCUGAAACUAUAUUAAAGAAGUGUUUAUUGGAAAAUGAACACUUCAAUGAAAAGAAACAAACGCGAGCUAUGCGAGAGUGAUGCGUUCAGGGCAGCCUCGGAUAAAAGAGUGCUGUAUUUCAUGCACAGAUGUUAAGAGAGCCUCAUACGGGAGAGCAUGUAGAACAUGUAGCACUGUUGAGUUAAAAUGUUUUUUAGAUUUUUCUAAGUGUAUCUUAUUCAGUUUGCUUUGUUAUUUACUUUAUAUGUUAAUAAAAUGUUGAACUAAUCUCUAGUUUUUUUAGUUUUUAGUACAGAUACUUUAAAACUGGCGCUUUAAAAAAAAAUCGUGAUAUUAAUCGAGAUCGGACGAUAUGACAAAAUAAGUCGUGAUCAUGUUUUUUGCCAAAUCGCCCAGGCCUAAUCCAGACUCUAAACAUCUGAAUCCACCCUAUUAUCAGACUUUGGCUCACCACCCCUAUCGGAGUUUCGACCGAAAUGACCUGUUUGCAGUGUGUCAAGUGGACCCAGGCUGAUCUUUCUGCUAUCUUAACAGCAGUGGGGGUUGUCAACAGUACCUGGUAUGGACCUUCCCACUUAGGUGAAUGCCAAUGCUUUCUUUUAACACUUCUUAUUAGCACCCAGUCUCCAGGCUUCAGUGGCUGAGUCUCCUGUUGAGAAUCAGCGGGAUGAUUGUCAGUAUACUGGUUUUUGUUUUUCUAAUAUCUUUCUCAUAUAGUCUGCAAGUGUGCUGUCGUCAUCUGUUUCCCAUUGGUUCUUAAACUGGGCCAGCCUGUAUGUUCUGCCAAAUAAGGUCUCAUAAGGAGUCAAUCCACUAGUGCUUGUUAUAUUGAUGUAAAGUUCUACGAGAUCAAGACACUGUGUCCAUGGUCUGUUUCUUUCUUCCAUACAUUUUUUUAGUCUAUUUUUUAAAGUUCCAUUCAUUCGUUCUACUAAGCCUGCACUUUGAGGGUGAUAUGCACAAUGAUGUUUAAGGUUUAUGGAACAUUUGUCCUAUUUUUUUAAGGAUUUGGUUCGCAAAAUGAGUGCCAUUGUCGCUACGAAUUAUUUCUGGGAUACCAUACUGAGGUAUGAUGUCUUUACAAAGUGCUUUAGCGACUGUCAAUGCAUCUGGUGUUUUAGUCGGGAAAAGCUCUACCCAUUUGGAAAAUGCAUCUGUUAUCACAAGACAGUAUCUUUUUCCUUCACUUGGGCUCAGUUCGAUAAAGUCCAUGUGUAUGACCUGGAAGGGAUAUUUUGGUUCAGGGAAACAACGUGUUUUCAUUCUGAGAUUUCCCUGAGGAUUGUGUUUGGCGCAUGUUAAACCUGCUCUGCAAAAAAUUUUUGAAUAAGAGUUAAAUCCAUAAGUAGGAAAAUGUUGUUGUAUCUGUCCUACCAUCCUUCCUGUUGAGACAUGUGUGGGACCAUCGCUCAAUAUUGCUCCCCAUUUAAAAAGAUUCUUUGGAAGGAUAGGUUUCCCUUCAGGUCAUAUAUAGAUGCCAUUUUGCAAAUGUGCGUCUUGUUUAGCCCAGAGUUCAAUUUCAGUUUUUGGGCUCUGUUGUUGCAUUGUUUUAAGAACGUCACCAGAAAGUGCGUCAGUAUACUCCAAGGUGCAGACUGAGAUCUCUCCCUCAGCUGGAGCCUUGGCUGUUUUAUCUGCAAAUGCGUUUACCAGCGAGACGGGGUCUGUUCCGGAAGUGUGGGCGGCACAUUUGCAAAUAGCUAACCUUUGUGGCAGAUGUACAGCAGCAUUUACUCUAGGUCAGGAAGUUGCAUUGUUCACGAUUUUGUCAUAGAGCUAUGGAAGCAGAAAGAGGGUUGGUGGCUCUCUCAUUUCUUUAAAAAAAAGACCUUUUCAACUGCUGAAAUGGCGUUGCCACUUUUGGAUGUCAUGUGGUAUGUGGUAUUUCCACAAAUAUGUAUUUUAAUUAUAAAUUUCAUAGUGACCUUUUAUGGGAAGCUAGUGGGCUUUGUUUAUUUGGCUAAUCCUGUAUCAAUAAGAUUUGACUGAACUUGAAAAUGUCAUGCAGUGCGACCAAUUAUCAUGUGGUGCGACCACUGCAGAUUGUUUUCCAUCAUAAAUAUAUGCCCUAGAUUGGCAGUAUUUACGCUUUUUAUAUUCAAUUGAUGAAUGAUAAACACAAAGAACUUAAUUUUUAGUAUUAUUUUGAAUUUUUUUUGUUAUUUGAUGUCAUUUUGCUAAUAUUUCAGAAAUAAUGGUUAGUUCAUCUUUGUACAAAAUAAGAAAAAAACUAUGCCAUUUCACUUACGGUAUUUAUGCCGUUGUUAGCAAUUUAUUUACUUUCAUGUAUCUAUUUAAGUCAUUUUAAUUAAGUUUACCAGAUGCCACUGUCGAGCUAAGUUAAAAGUGCUCGCAAUAGGCAGCGUGUCAACUCUGACCCUGAAGCAUGUUGUUCAUGCAAGGACUGGUCAACGAUUGGGCCAAGAUUGGGCAAAGUUUAAAAACGCCUGAGGCCUGUACUACAAAGCUGGAUUUGAUCGUAGCGAGAUAACUUCUUGAAUAAUUCCUGGGUUUACCGCACGAUGAAGGUGGAUUUCUUUCUAUCCAGGUCUGUUGCCCCAGUAACUUACGCGGAACAUCAAACCUGCUCCGGAGAAGGUUAUGUUUCAGGAUAAGAUCUCAGCAGGUAUAAAAGACCGCCCACUGACCAAUCAGAUCUCUUAGAAAAUGGCUUGCCCACUUUUGCCGGAUCCCGGGGACAUCGUUGCACGGAUAGUGAGAGGAGCGCUUCGCCGAGAACGAUAUAUUCAAGAUCGUUCAAAUCUGUUUGAUUUACCUGAUGACGUUCUCUAUGAAUGUUACAGGUUUUCCUCGGACGGCCUCAAUAGGUAGCAUGAAGUCUAAGCAAUGCACUAACAUUUGCCAAGCUCCAAGUUCCAAUUUCAUGCAGCAUAUCAGUCAUACUUCAUAUUAAUCUCGUUUCAUAUUUUCUAUAUUUUUAUCUAUCUUUUUUCCAAUGUCUUGCACUGAUAUGGGUGGCUUUAAUUUCAUUGUACUGCUUAUAAUGACAAUAAAAGGCAUUCUGAUUCUGAUCAUUCAGAAUUUAUUGAAGCAGAUUAGAAAACUCCUCUUAACCCCAAAUGUGUCUACAGAUGACAUGUGACCAUUCGAUGAUGGAGAAAAAAGAAAAAAAGGCAGUGUGAGGAAAUCACUGUUUACGUGUUGAAAUGUGUACAAAUUAAAUCUUCCAGUAAACCAGCUAACCACUUUGACGGAUGUUUUUAGAUUUAUUUUUAUUUGCUCCCACGUACUCUUUUCCCCACUACUGUUGUAUCUGAAAUAAUGAGGUCAACAGGAGGUUAUCACACACGCUGCAUGACAACAUAUAAGGGGGCCAUAAAUUUAUGAACAUACAAAUGUAAUUGACACAAUCGAUGAUUUUUUUGCCAGCAGUCCCUGCGGCUUUUAGCAGCUGCGGCUGUCCUGCUCCUCACUGUUAUAGUGUUGCAGUACUCCUCGUAUUUGUGUAAAAUAAUGCUCUGUUCCUCGGCUGUGAAAUAUGACGUGCAGCCUUCUCCAUUGUUGAGAGUGGUCCGGUGGCACUGACCCCGCCCCCUUUACGUGUGCGCGCACAGAUCUAGACUGACCAUAACUGAAUUUAGUUAGCUAGUUGAUAUCCUGCCUCGUAGUACAGCAGAUCGGGAUUACGGAGAUCUGGUGAAAUUGAUCGAGUUGUCGCAGAGUUAUCCUGGUUGCGUUAAUCCAGCUUCGUAGUGCAGGCCUCUGGACCACGGACACAAACACACACAGAGUUAAUUUUAUGUCAAAAAGGGAAAUAAAAUGUUUGUGUUCAUGUUCGAAAUGUUAAUAAAAUUUGGUUUGAAUAUAAAAUUUGCAUGAAAUUAAUUGUUCAUAGGUCUCUUUAAAUUGAUUUUUAAUGAUACAAGGUCUUCAAGUCAUUUGGCGCGACCACCAAUCAUGUGGUGCAACCAAUAAUAACAUUUCUACUAGGCCUGCACGAUAUAUCAUUUCAGCAUCGUCAUCGCGAUGUACGUGUGUGCGAUAGUCACAUUGCAGAGCCUGCGAUGUCGGAGGUGAAUGAACUCAGUUAAUUUCCAUGGUAGCCGACUGAGACACACUGCAUGUGACUCUGCAUGUGCUGUGCAGCGAUCCACCAUUCACCUUCUUUCUUUACUCAGUUGCCAAUCAGACUCAGUUCUCAGUUGCCAAUCAGACUAACCUGCCAGCUGUCAAUCAAAAUCAGAGAGGAGGAAACCCACCCCUGCACAUGUUCUGCACAUGGAGUGAGACGCCUGUCCGCUGAGAAUUACUUUCAGAACAUUCUUCAUCACUGUUUAGCCCAACAAAUAAGUAUGGGUUUUAAAUUGUACAUUUCCGUGGACCACUCUACUAUAAGCAGUGCGCGUUUUGUGAGGUGCAUGCAAUUCUCGGAGGACAUGGGUUUCUCGGCACAACCCCGUUGACAACAAAAACAACGAUCGCAAACUGAGCAACAAACAGAGAAAACCACAGAAGAUGAAGAUUUGUUGCCAAAAAGAAAAGGAAAGUCAGUUAUCUUGAAUUAUUUCGGUUACAAGAUGGAUAAUGUCGACCAAAACACGUUCUGUGUUCAUCUGUUGCCACAAUAACGUCUGGCGGAGCCUGGUGUACAGCCAGUUUGGUAUUUUCGUGGACUGAGGCGCACCAAGGUCCGCCAAGCUGGGCGUGGUGGCGUGGCACGGGGAGGUGUCGACAGAAUCAGCUGGCGCUAGUGGUGCAACGGAUCAUCAUUGAUCCGUGAUCCGUUCGGAUCGACGUCAUCGGUUCGGCACACACGUUACCCGCGGUUCGAUUUCUGAAAAAAAAAUUGGCUUCCCUGUCAACUAUGAUGAGGAAGGAAAGAGGUCAGUGGACAAAACUGCGAAGGUGUGUAGGCACUGUGGCAUAAGAAAGCCAUAUGACAGUGGAAACACAUCGAGCAUGUUCACGCAUUUGAAAGCGACAUCACCCGGGUGUUUUAAUGACAGGUGUUGUGCCGUAGACUGCACCCCUGCCGUAGAACGCACCCCUGCAGUAGAACGCACCCCUGCAUCCCCUCCACUCGUUAGCUUCUUAAAGUGGAGAUAAUGAUCUCAUAUUUAAAGAAACACGAGUAUUAGAUCAUGACAACAUGUCAAAUGGAGCAGCAAACUUUCAUUUUCUUUUUAUGUGUCUCAAAAAUGCAAAUAUAGAGGUGUACUUGGGUAUAAACUGUACAGAAAGCUGUCCAGGUAGAGAGCAUUAUAUUUUCGGGACAGCAAUAUUCCAAGGGCUGUUGUUUUUGGCUUCUUUGAAUAGCCUGAAUGAAAUUAUUACAGGCAAACGCUUUUGAAUCCAUCCAAUGUAAGAAAAACUUGGAUUAUUUCGCCUCGUUAUGUACUUUAAACCGCGCUCCCGUCAGGGGGUGCAUUCUACGGCAGGGGUGCAUUCUAUGUCACAACACCUGAGAUAAAACGAAAGCUGGCCAGCAACCACUCAUCACCGCAGCAUUUAAGCAGCCUCUUCCUGCGGAAUCCGACCGGGUUAAAGCUAUCACAAACGCUAUCGGUGUGUUUAUAGCUACAGACAUGAGGCCAUAUUCAGUUGUGCAAACGAGGGCUUUAAAAACAUGCUGAAAGUGCUUGAGCCACGUUACAAUAUCCCACCGCGCACAUACUUCAUUUUUGGUUCAUUGUUACAUUUUAAAGGAAGGAGAUAUGCCUAUAUAUUGCACUUUAAGUUGUUUUUCAUUAAUAAUUAUGUUGAAAAGAAGAUAUUAUGCCGUAUGCACUACUUUUAUAUAUUUUAAUUCAACCAUUUAAGUGUUUAAUAUACAGACAAAACUUAUGUUUAUUUGUCUUGUUUUUUUUUUUGUUUUGUUUUUUUGCUUUUU
Non-coding RNA from Xyrichtys novacula (pearly razorfish), 9420 nucleotides. The record is from the annotation of a GenBank genome assembly. NCBI's taxonomy places the organism in Eukaryota, Metazoa, Chordata, Actinopteri, Labriformes, Labridae.